ACGUUGAGAUAUCAACUGAUGUAAGAAGGGCUAUAUAAACACAUUUGAUUUGAUUUAGUAAUGUGGAGCCUGCCUGUAUUUCCUUAAACCUUUCGAGCAAUACCUGUCAUUCAGAAGAAAAACAAAUAUUUCAUAACAUAUUUUCUUGCCCUCAUUAGCGCCUCACCACUAGAACCGCAGUGCAAAUAUCCAACACAUGGGCUAGUCCACCAUCCAGAUCAGAGUUGUAAAAACAAUCAAGCCGGUCAAAUGGAAGUUGUUCGUUUGGCACUGUUGAUCUACACAGAGGUGGCUUAAAAUGUCAGGAAGACAAGAGAAGGAGCAUACUGGAAUCUAUUCUGGAUGUUCAGAACUGUUCCACUCUGCCCUGGUGUCUUCCUGCAGUCGACCAGCAGCACAGACACCCUCUUCAGACCCAGCAGUAAGGCGCUACCAGGAGAGUUGUGACCAGGGGACUCUGGCAGGUUGGAGGGGGACGGGCUAGCUCUGUCCUGGUGACCACAGGAAUAAUUGUACAUAGAAUAUCAUUAGACCAAACAUUUGAUUACUUUAGUCUAAAUCUCUGAUUGAUUGGGUGCAUCCUUAUAAUAACUACUUUCUCCUGAAGUAUGUAAUUGUUCACCACUUUCCAUAAAUGUCUAGUAUUUUUUAUUUAUUUUUUUUAAAUCACUUUGGCAAAUUUUUCAAAUAGAAGUGAUAUUUUUUACAAUGUCUUAUGUUAAGAACCUUUGAUUGAGCAUUCAUAUGCAUUGAACAAAUUAGCGGAUCAAUUUAGUUCAUACGUGUUAGGAGAGCUUAACAGUUUCUGGAAAGAGGAGCUCCACCGUCUCCUCCCCUUCCAAAAUGUGAAAGAUUGUAACACCUGCUAAAUCACUUUGCACCAUACCUGCUGGAGCACGCGCUCCAGCAGGUAUAUUUCACUGGUCAUCCCCAAAGCCAACACCUCCUUUGGCUGCCUUUCCUUACAGUUCUCUGCUGCCAAUGACUGGAACAAAUUGCAAAAAUCACUGAAGUUGGAGACUUACAUCUCCCUCAAUAACUUUAAGCGUCAGCUGUCAGAGCAGCUUACCGAUUGCUGCAGCUAUACACAGCCCAUCUGUAAUUAGAACAUCCAACCAACUACCUCAUCCCCAUAUAUCUAUUUUUUUCUGCUCUUUUGCACACCAGUAUUUCUACUUGCACAUCCUCAUCUGCACAUAUCACUCCAGUGUAAAUUGCUAAAUUGUAAUUACUUCGCCACUAUUGGCCUAUUUAUUGCCUUACCUCCUUACUUCAUUUGCACAUACUGUGUACAGAUUUUUCUAUUGCGUUAUUGACUGUACGUUUGUUUAUCCCAUGUGUAACUCUGUUGUUUUUGUCGCACUGGUUUGCUUGAUCUUGGCCAGGUUGCAGUUGUAAAUGAGAACUUGUUCUCAACUGGCCUACCUGAUUAAAUAAAGGUGAAAUAAACACAA
Long non-coding RNA from Salvelinus fontinalis (brook trout), 1454 nucleotides. RefSeq lists it as uncharacterized. The transcript is spliced from 2 exons. Lineage: Eukaryota; Metazoa; Chordata; Actinopteri; Salmoniformes; Salmonidae. The record is from RefSeq and is a predicted model, not a curated record.